AAGCCUAAGUACUCGUGCAUCACCGAUAGCGAACCAGUACCGUGAGGGAAAGGUGAAAAGCACCCCGACAAGGGGAGUGAAAUAGUACCUGAAACCGUGUGCCUACAAGCGGUCGGAGCGGACUUGUUCCGUGACGGCGUACCUUUUGUAUAAUGGGUCAGCGACUUAGUCUGUGCAGCGAGCUUAAGCCGUUAGGUGUAGGCGUAGCGAA
This 211-nucleotide ribosomal RNA is filed under the name Oxyrrhis marina. RNAcentral describes it as "partial Bacterial large subunit ribosomal RNA". It matches the Rfam family "Bacterial large subunit ribosomal RNA", at positions 462 to 675 of the family's 2925-position model. The record is from RNAcentral. Lineage: Eukaryota; Dinophyceae; Oxyrrhinales; Oxyrrhinaceae.